This 464-nucleotide ribosomal RNA is filed under the name Vreelandella stevensii. RNAcentral's name for it is "partial 16S ribosomal RNA". It matches the Rfam family "Bacterial small subunit ribosomal RNA", at positions 338 to 795 of the family's 1533-position model. The record is from RNAcentral. Lineage: Bacteria; Pseudomonadati; Pseudomonadota; Gammaproteobacteria; Oceanospirillales; Halomonadaceae.
CCUACGGGCGGCAGCAGUGGGGAAUAUUGGACAAUGGGCGAAAGCCUGAUCCAGCCAUGCCGCGUGUGUGAAGAAGGCCUUCGGGUUGUAAAGCACUUUCAGUGGGGAAGAAAGCCUUGGGGCUAAUACCCUCGAGGAAGGACAUCACCCACAGAAGAAGCACCGGCUAACUCCGUGCCAGCAGCCGCGGUAAUACGGAGGGUGCGAGCGUUAAUCGGAAUUACUGGGCGUAAAGCGCGCGUAGGCGGUCUGAUAAGCCGGUUGUGAAAGCCCCGGGCUCAACCUGGGAACGGCAUCCGGAACUGUCAGGCUAGAGUGCAGGAGAGGAAGGUAGAAUUCCCGGUGUAGCGGUGAAAUGCGUAGAGAUCGGGAGGAAUACCAGUGGCGAAGGCGGCCUUCUGGACUGACACUGACGCUGAGGUGCGAAAGCGUGGGUAGCAAACAGGAUUAAUACCCUUGUAGUC